This 73-nucleotide transfer RNA is filed under the name Astyanax mexicanus (Mexican tetra). It matches the Rfam family "tRNA". Rfam says of the family: Transfer RNA (tRNA) molecules are approximately 80 nucleotides in length. Their secondary structure includes four short double-helical elements and three loops (D, anti-codon, and T loops). Further hydrogen bonds mediate the characteristic L-shaped molecular structure. tRNAs have two regions of fundamental functional importance: the anti-codon, which is responsible for specific mRNA codon recognition, and the 3' end, to which the tRNAs corresponding amino acid is attached (by aminoacyl-tRNA synthetases). tRNAs cope with the degeneracy of the genetic code in two manners: having more than one tRNA (with a specific anti-codon) for a particular amino acid; and 'wobble' base-pairing, i.e. permitting non-standard base-pairing at the 3rd anti-codon position. Lineage: Eukaryota; Metazoa; Chordata; Actinopteri; Characiformes; Acestrorhamphidae. The record is from Rfam by way of RNAcentral.
GCCUGGAUAGUUAACUCUGUAUAACAUCAGACAUUUAAUCUUAUGCUCCAGGGUUCGAGUCCCUGUUUGACCU